CCUACGGGUGGCAGCAGUGAGGAAUCUUGGUCAAUGGACGAGAGUCUGAACCAGCCAAGUAGCGUGAAGGAUGACUGCCCUAUGGGUUGUAAACUUCUUUUAUAUGGGAAUAAAAUGUUCCACGUGUGUGAUUGUGUAUGUACCAUAUGAAUAAGGAUCGGCUAACUCCGUGCCAGCAGCCGCGGUAAUAAGGAGGAUCCGAGCGUUAUCUGGAUUUAUUGGGUUUAAAGGGAGCGUAGGUGGGUUGUUAAGUCAAUUGUGAAAGUUUGCGGCUCAAACGUAAGAUUGCAGUUGAAACUUGCAGUCUAGAGUACAGUAGAGGUGAGCGGAAUUCGUGGUGAAGCGGUGAAAUGCUUAGAUAUAACGAAGAACUCCGAUUGCGAAGGCAGUUCACUGGACUGAAACUGACACUGAGGGUCGAAAGUGUGGGUAUCAAACAGGAUUAGAUACCCGUGUAGUC
Molecule: ribosomal RNA, 460 nt
Filed under: uncultured bacterium
Lineage: Bacteria
Description: partial 16S ribosomal RNA
Rfam family: Bacterial small subunit ribosomal RNA
Source: RNAcentral